This 1433-nucleotide ribosomal RNA is filed under the name uncultured bacterium. Its description in RNAcentral is "bacterial SSU rRNA". It matches the Rfam family "Bacterial small subunit ribosomal RNA". The record is from RNAcentral.
AGAGUUUGAUCAUGGCUCAGAACGUACGCUGGCGGCACGCCUAACACAUGCAAGUCGAACGAAGUAGCAAUACUUAGUGGCAGACGGGUGAGUAACAUGUGGGUAUCUGCCCUUUGGCCUGGAAUAACACGAGGAAACUUGUGCUAAUACCGGAUAAGUCUUUACGGAGAAAGCUUUAUGCACCAUUGGAUGAGCCUGCACUUGAUUAGUUUGUUGGUGGGGUAAUGGCCUACCAAGACUGUGAUCAAUAGCUGAUUUGAGAGGAUGAUCAGCCACAUUGGGACUGAGACACGGCCCAAACUCCUACGGGAGGCAGCAGUGGGGAAUCUUGCACAAUGGAGGAAACUCUGAUGCAGCGAUGCCGCGUGAGUGAAGAAGGCCCUUGGGUUGUAAAGCUCUUUCGUCGGGGAAGAAAAUGACUGUACCCGAAUAAGAAGGUCCGGCUAACUUCGUGCCAGCAGCCGCGGUAAUACGAAGGGACCUAGCGUAGUUCGGAAUUACUGGGCUUAAAGAGUUCGUAGGUGGUUGAAAAAGUUAGUGGUGAAAUCCCAGAGCUUAACUCUGGAACUGCCAUUAAAACUUUUCAGCUAGAGUAUGAUAGAGGAAAGCAGAAUUUCUAGUGUAGAGGUGAAAUUCGUAGAUAUUAGAAAGAAUACCAAUUGCGAAGGCAGCUUUCUGGAUCAUUACUGACACUGAGGAACGAAAGCAUGGGUAGCGAAGAGGAUUAGAUACCCUCGUAGUCCAUGCCGUAAACGAUGUGUGUUAGACGUUGGAAAUUUAUUUUCAGUGUCGCAGGGAAACCGAUAAACACACCGCCUGGGGAGUACGACCGCAAGGUUAAAACUCAAAUGAAUUGACGGGGACCCGCACAAGUAGUGGAGCAUGUGGUUUAAUUCGAAGAUACGCGCAGAACCUUACCAACACUUGACAUGUUCGUCGCGACUCUAAGAGAUUAGAGUUUUCGGUUCGGCCGGACGAAACACAGGUGCUGCAUGGCUGUCGUCAGCUCGUGUCGUGAGAUGUUGGGUUAAGUCCCGCAACGAGCGCAACCCUCACUUUUAGUUGCCAUCAUUAAGUUGGGCACUCUGAAAGAACUGCCAGUGAUAAGCUGGAGGAAGGUGGGGAUGACGUCAAGUCCUCAUGGCCCUUACGUGUUGGGCUACACACGUGCUACAAUGGUAUCUACAACAGGAAGCAAGACUGCGAAGUUAAGCAAAUCCCUAAAAGAUACCUCAGUUCGGAUUGCACUCUGCAACUCGAGUGCAUGAAGCUGGAAUUACUAGUAAUCGUGGAUCAGCGUGCCACGGUGAAUGCGUUCCCGGGUCUUGUACACACCGCCCGUCACACCAUGGGAGUUGGUUCUACCUUAAGGCAAGGUUUUAAACCCUUGACCACGGUAUAGUCAGCGACUGGGGUGAAGUCGUAACAAGGUA